GAAAAAGUGAAGAAAUCGAAGGAGAUAUAAAAAUUUUCAUAGCAAAUCUUAAAAUUCUUGUCUUGUGCAAUCCCAGACUGGAUUAAGAGUAAGGAAUUAAGUUGCCCCCCAGGGCACUUCUCCACUGGCAAAGGACGGACGCUGUCAAACCUGACAGAGCAGAGGUCGUGAGUUCGAAACAUGGGGCUCUUGGAAGGCAAUGAUUUAUUCUUGGAAGGCAAGGAUUUAUUCUUGGAAGGCAAGUGGGAACUUUGAAGGCAAGGAUUAUUCUUGGAAGGCAAGGUGCAACUUGGAUUGGUUUGCUUGGCACUUUGUCAGACCAGGUGGGGAGCGCUCGGACCCUGGUCAGUUGGAGGCACAUCCUGCGAUUAACCGGACUGUGUGAAGAGGGGCCGGAUCACAGAC
This 405-nucleotide long non-coding RNA is filed under the name Olea europaea subsp. europaea. Lineage: Eukaryota; Viridiplantae; Streptophyta; Magnoliopsida; Lamiales; Oleaceae. The record is from RNAcentral.